GAUAUGGAGAACCGAAGAUCGA
This 22-nucleotide small nuclear RNA is filed under the name Arabidopsis thaliana (thale cress). Its description in RNAcentral is "snRNA_19011". Lineage: Eukaryota; Viridiplantae; Streptophyta; Magnoliopsida; Brassicales; Brassicaceae. The record is from RNAcentral.